This 218-nucleotide unclassified non-coding RNA is filed under the name Neopestalotiopsis saprophytica. Its description in RNAcentral is "partial internal transcribed spacer region". The stretch from base 1 to 46 matches the Rfam family "Eukaryotic small subunit ribosomal RNA", at positions 1786 to 1831 of the family's 1831-position model. The record is from RNAcentral. Lineage: Eukaryota; Fungi; Ascomycota; Sordariomycetes; Amphisphaeriales; Sporocadaceae.
AAGUCGUAACAAGGUCUCCGUUGGUGAACCAGCGGAGGGAUCAUUAUAGAGUUUUCUAAACUCCCAACCCAUGUGAACUUACCUUUUGUUGCCUCGGCAGGAGUUAUAGGUCUUCUUAUAGCUGCUGCCGGUGGACCAUUAAACUCUUGUUAUUUUAUGUAAUCUGAGCGUCUUAUUUUAAUAAGUCAAAACUUUCAACAACGGAUCUCUUGGUUCUG